GUUUCUAUACAUACUGCCUUCGCAGGAGUUUGAUCUCUGUAUGAAAGCUGCAAAAUGUACUCCAACAAAGCAUAGUUUAAGAAUGUACAAGAAGCAACAUCAUUCUUGUCACUUUUUUAUAUCUUCUUUUUCUUUAAUUCCAUUAUGCUUCGUUCUAAAAUUUUGCCCUGAGAAAAACAAAUACUUGAUCCUCAUCAGGAAAAGAGAAAAGAUGUCACUGAACCUCUUCAUAACUACUGAGUUCCACAACAUGUCUACGAUUCAACUUUGUAACGCUAGUUCUGUGCAUUACACGUCCUGAAAUGCAGACUGCACAUACAAGUGUCCAGGGCACUUAAUCUUCUUUUUUUCUUCUAAAUUACCCCAUAAGAUAUUCUGCAGAGCCAACGUGGGCUUACAAUAAACUGAUUCCCCUUGACACACUGCAUACAUGUAACAUUUGCUUUAUUUUAUUAUCCUGAUCAGCUUUCAAGUCAUAGAAGGAAAAGGUGGAGAAAGACACUCGCAGUCACUUCAUUGCAAGGACAGGUACAUAGACAUGCGGCCACCUGAAAAAGAAGCGUUUCUACUUCGUCUGUCACCGGUCUGGAAGUUAUGCUUCACAAGCUACAAGUAAACAAAAGCUGAAGCGGCCUUCAAGUGUUAAGUGUGGAAAAAGAUGUUUUGCGGCAAUGGCUGUGACUGAAGACAACACAGGUGUGUAUGUGGUUUUCCAAUUCAAGCACAGAGGCCACGACUUUGAACUGGGUCGUGUUUUUCUGUCCAAGUCGGAAAGAGCUGUUAUUGCUGAUAAGAAACCGCUUUUGCUCUGCUUUAUAAUACAUAAAGAGUGGUUGUUGAGUUUUCAACAUCCCAAAUACAAGGCAAUACUCAUGCCAGACCAUGCAAUGAACUUGGAGCACAUGUUAGUGCGUUUGAAAUUCAUGAUUUCCACAUAAUUCGAGGCCACCAAUACUGACUGCAGGGCAUUAUAGUUAAUGACAUCAUAAACAUGUUUAUCAUUUUGCUACAUUGUAUCAAUGCCUGAAGAGUUCAGAGAGAGAGAGAAAAAAGGGAACUGUUCUCCAAUUUCACAGCGGUAACAACUACCUUGGCACAGCCAGUGGCCUAUAUUUGACCUAUAUGGCUAUUCUUAUUGCAGGCAACUACUUUAGUUAUUUUAUACUUGUUUGCAUCACUUCAUGUACCAAGCAGGAAGGUGUAGUGCCUCCUGGUGCACUGUAGGCCACGCAGCAGACUGGCUUUUUCUCUUUCUGCUUUAUUUUUCAGGCUUGCAGUUAACUGGAUUGGUAUGACUUAUGAUCCUAGUGGGAUUCAAUGUCUCAAAAUAGCAGUAAGCUGGAAUAAUUUCCACUUGGGAUUACUUAAGGUGCAUUGUACAUAAUUAUGUCUGCCAUUUUGCCGAAACUGAUGUACAAGUAUUACAGACAUCGAUGAAACUGCGACCUCUCACCACUACUGUAGGUCACCCACAGCAGAUGUGCUUUCCAUGUGAAACUUUCAUCAGCUCAAGUUGUAUUUUAGUCUACUAUAUGUAGGGCUCACAAACCAUGUGCCAUAUUUUCUGGACUAUAAUUUGAACUGUUGUACAAGUCACCCCCUUUCCCCCUCUUUUCACAACUUUCAAAGAAAAAUUAUGUGUAUAUAACUCAAUGUAUAAGAUGCAUCUAUCUUAACUUGGGUCAGCAUCGUGAAAUGCGAUUGUGCAUGUUUAUACACUUAUCCUAAAAUGUCGUACUUGCCCAUUUCAGGGCACUAAACAUCAGUAAAAAAAAAUUUAUGAGCCGCACAUUCUAGCAGGCAAAAUAAACUGCAAGUACAUUGCUGGAGAAAAAGAAUGUCUCAUGUUGGUCUUGCAUAUAUAAGUUACACUGUUGUAUAAUACGCUUGGACGAAAAUGAAAAGCAAAUAGUGGCAUCUAUGGUUUGGAAAAUAUGGUACCUAAAUAUUUUGAAUGCUCAUGAAUCAGCUAUGUGAAUGAAACAUGAUUGAAACGAUCACGAUAAUUAGGCUUAUACCCCUGUCACACGGCAAAUCUAAUGCCAUUUCCAACAAAUGACAUUUCUUGCGAUUAAUGUCAUUAUUACAGCGCGCUGUCACAUGGCGAAAACUGUCAUUUGAAAAUGAUGACAGUGACGAUAGUAAAAAAAAAGACACGCCUCAAACCCACUUUUGUCCAAUAAUUAUUUUCCAAUAUGCUAAAUUCCACUAGAAUAUGUGAUCGUUGCUUUCAAACCGUAGCGUUCGACCACUAACUUGUCGACAUUGCCAACGAAGUCGAGUCGACCUAAGGCAAGCAACAGGGCGAAGAUAACGAUACGUGCGUUCGCUACAUCUGCUAAAGUGGUACGAGAAGGGCAGUUGCAUGUCAUCGCCGUUCUGAUGUGCAUGCGAGCUUCUAAUAUCCUCAUUCUUGGCGCGUGCCACAGGAAAACACGCGCACGCUUUUACGCCAAGUCAAUUGAAGUGGCCGCGGCCGAUGCUCCGGUGAGAACCAACACAACUGCUGCAGCGAAAGCUAAAGACGGCUGUCUGGUCACUGGACUGAGAGUAGUUUUCUGUAUUUACGCACGUGAUGGACUUUAAUGUCGUUAAAGCAAUAAUUAGGCAAUAAAAUGGAUAGAAUAACAGUGAUUUUU
RNAcentral lists this long non-coding RNA (2639 nucleotides) under Dermacentor andersoni. RNAcentral's name for it is "uncharacterized LOC126533155". The record is from RNAcentral. Lineage: Eukaryota; Metazoa; Arthropoda; Arachnida; Ixodida; Ixodidae.